This 859-nucleotide ribosomal RNA is filed under the name uncultured bacterium. RNAcentral's name for it is "bacterial SSU rRNA". It matches the Rfam family "Bacterial small subunit ribosomal RNA", at positions 10 to 904 of the family's 1533-position model. The record is from RNAcentral.
AGUUGAUCCUGGCUCAGGACGAACGCUGGCGGCGUGCCUAAUGCAUGCAAGUCGCACGCACUCGCUUCGGCGGGUGAGUGGCGCACGGCUGAGUAACACGUGGGAACCCGCCCCCCGGUGGGGGAUAACGCGACGAAAGUCGCGCUAAUCCCGCAUACGUCCGCAGGGGGAAAGCGCUUCGGCGCGCCGGGGGAGGGGCCUGCGGCCCAUCAGGUCGUUGGUGGGGUAACGGCCUACCAAGCCGAUGACGGGUAGCUGGUCUGGGAGGAUGACCAGCCAGACUGGGACUGAGACACGGCCCAGACUCCUACGGGAGGCAGCAGCAAGGAAUUUUCGGCAAUGGGCGCAAGCCUGACCGAGCAACGCCGCGUGCGGAAUGACGGCCUUCGGGUUGUAAACCGCUUUUCGGGGGGACGAUGAUGACGGUACCCCCGGAACAAGCCCCGGCUAACUCUGUGCCAGCAGCCGCGGUAAGACAGAGGGGGCGAGCGUUGUCCGGAGUCACUGGGCGUAAAGCGCGCGCAGGCGGUCGCCAAAGUGUCGUGUGAAAGCCCCCGGCUCAACCGGGGGAGGCCAUGGCAAACUCGGCGACUGGAGCGGCGGAGAGGCCCCUCGAAUUGCCGGUGUAGCGGUGAAAUGCGUAGAGAUCGGCAGGAAGACCAAGGGGGAAGCCAGGGGGCUGGCCGCUGGCUGACGCUGAGGCGCGACAGCGUGGGGAGCGAACCGGAUUAGAUACCCGGGUAGUCCACGCCGUAAACAAUGACCACUCGGCGUGCGGCGACUAUUGACGUCGCGGUGCGCCUUAGCUCACGCGCUAAGUGGUCCGCCUGGGAACUACGAGCGCAAGCUUAAAACUCAA